This 253-nucleotide ribosomal RNA is filed under the name uncultured bacterium. RNAcentral describes it as "partial 16S ribosomal RNA". It matches the Rfam family "Bacterial small subunit ribosomal RNA", at positions 524 to 776 of the family's 1533-position model. The record is from RNAcentral.
UACAGAGGGUGCGAGCGUUAAUCGGAAUUACUGGGCGUAAAGCGCACGUAGGCGGCUUGGUAUGUCGGGUGUGAAAUCCCCGGGCUCAACCUGGGAACUGCAUUCGAGACUGCAUUGCUAGAGUAUGGGAGAGGGAAGUGGAAUUUCCGGUGUAGCGGUGAAAUGCGUAGAUAUCGGAAGGAACAUCAGUGGCGAAAGCGACUUCCUGGACCAAUACUGACGCUCAUGUGCGAAAGCGUGGGGAGCAAACAGG